This 253-nucleotide ribosomal RNA is filed under the name uncultured bacterium. RNAcentral's name for it is "partial 16S ribosomal RNA". It matches the Rfam family "Bacterial small subunit ribosomal RNA", at positions 524 to 776 of the family's 1533-position model. The record is from RNAcentral.
UACGUAGGGGGCAAGCGUUGUCCGGAAUCAUUGGGCGUAAAGAGCGUGUAGGCGGUUCGGUAAGUCGGCUGUGAAAGUCCAGGGCUCAACCCUGGGAUGCCGGUCGAUACUGCCGGACUAGAGUUCGGAAGAGGCGAGUGGAAUUCCCGGUGUAGCGGUGAAAUGCGCAGAUAUCGGGAGGAACACCUAUGGCGAAGGCAGCUCGCUGGGACGUUACUGACGCUGAGACGCGAAAGCGUGGGGAGCAAACGGG